This 499-nucleotide ribosomal RNA is filed under the name uncultured organism. RNAcentral's name for it is "bacterial SSU rRNA". It matches the Rfam family "Bacterial small subunit ribosomal RNA", at positions 28 to 507 of the family's 1533-position model. The record is from RNAcentral.
GAUGAACGCUGGCGGCAUGCCUAACACAUGCAAGUCGUACGCGAUCACUUUUUUCGCUCGCAGGUGCUGAAUAGCAAUAUUCCGCCGUUGCGAGCGGAACUCAUAAAGUGAUUGAGUGGCGGACGGGUGAGUAACACGUUGGUACCUGCCCUAGAGUGGGGAAUAAUUCACCGAAAGGUGGACUAAUACCCCAUAGUCUCCGGUUUAUCCGGAGUAAAGCUUCGGCGCUCUAGGAGGGGCCUGCGUUUGAUUAGCUAGUUGGCGGGGUAAAGGCCCACCAAGGCGACGAUCAAUAGCUGGAUCGAGAGGUUGACCAGCCACACUGGGACUGAGAUACGGCCCAGACUCCUACGGGAGGCAGCAGUGAGGAAUCUUCCACAAUGGGCGCAAGCCUGAUGGAGCAAUGCCGCGUGCAGGAAGACGCUUUUCGGAGUGUAAACUGCUUUUCUGAAGGAAGAUUAUGACGGUACUUCAGGAAUAAGGAUCGGCUAACUACGUG